UGAGUAAGUCGGACAGUCGCGCUUUAUAAGUGAGGAAAGUCCGGGCUUCAUAGAGCAGGGUGCCGGCUAACGACCGGUGGAGGCGACUCCAAGGAUAGUGCAACAGAAAUAUACCGCCUGAGUACGGGUAAGGAUGGAAAGGUGGGGUAAGAGCCCACCGCUUCUGUGGUAACACAGAAGGCUAUGUAAACCCCACCUGAAGCAAGACCGAAUAGAGAAACAUAAAGGGGCUGCUCGUCCCGUUUCGGGUAAAGGUCGCAAGAUGAUACUGGUAACAGUAUACCAAGAUAGAUGACUGUCUAAGACAGAACCCGGCUUAUAGACUUGCUCACAAC
This 335-nucleotide RNase P RNA is filed under the name Candidatus Epulonipiscium sp. Its description in RNAcentral is "RNase P RNA component class A". It matches the Rfam family "Bacterial RNase P class A". From Rfam's summary of the family: Ribonuclease P (RNase P) is a ubiquitous endoribonuclease, found in archaea, bacteria and eukarya as well as chloroplasts and mitochondria. Lineage: Bacteria; Bacillati; Bacillota; Clostridia; Lachnospirales; Lachnospiraceae. The record is from RNAcentral.